AUUGAACGCUGGCGGCAGGCCUAACACAUGCAAGUCGAACGGUAACAGGAAGCAGCUUGCUGCUUUGCUGACGAGUGGCGGACGGGUGAGUAAUGUCUGGGAAACUGCCUGAUGGAGGGGGAUAACUACUGGAAACGGUAGCUAAUACCGCAUAACGUCGCAAGACCAAAGAGGGGGGCCUUCGGGCCUCUUGCCAUCGGAUGUGCCCAGAUGGGAUUAGAUUGUUGGUGGGGUAACGGCUCACCAAGGCGACGAUCCCCAGCUGGUCUGAGGGGAUGACCAGCCACACUGGAACUGAGACACGGUCCAGACUCCUACGGGAGGCAGCAGUGGGGAAUAUUGCACAGUGGGCGCAAGCCUGAUGCAGCCAUGCCGCGUGUAUGAAGAAGGCCUUCGGGUUGUAAAGUACUUUCAGCGGGGAGGAAGGGAGUAAAGUUAAUACCUUUACUCAUUGACGUUACCCGCAGAAGAAGCACCGGCUAACUCCGUG
RNAcentral lists this ribosomal RNA (490 nucleotides) under uncultured bacterium. Its description in RNAcentral is "partial 16S ribosomal RNA". It matches the Rfam family "Bacterial small subunit ribosomal RNA", at positions 30 to 507 of the family's 1533-position model. The record is from RNAcentral.